RNAcentral lists this ribosomal RNA (255 nucleotides) under uncultured bacterium. RNAcentral's name for it is "partial 16S ribosomal RNA". It matches the Rfam family "Bacterial small subunit ribosomal RNA", at positions 524 to 777 of the family's 1533-position model. The record is from RNAcentral.
UACGGAGGGGGCUAGCGUUGUUCGGAAUUACUGGGCGUAAAGCGCACGUAGGCGGCUUUGUAAGUUAGAGGUGAAAGCCCGGGGCUUAACCCCGGAAUAGCCUUUAAGACUGCAUCGCUUGAACACGGGAGAGGUGAGUGGAAUUCCGAGUGUAGAGGUGAAAUUCGUAGAUAUUCGGAAGAACACCAGUGGCGAAGGGGCUCACUGGACCGUUGUUGACGCUGAGGUGGCGAAAAGCGUGGGGAGCAAACACGG